GAUGUAAGCUAUAAUGUUAUAAGCAUCUAUAUAAGCUGUUUAUCCAAACGGGGUCUAAUAAGUAUCAAAGACUAUUAAAAAACCAUAUAGUCAACAAAUUUAUAUGAAAGCUUAUUCAUUCAGAAGAUGAGCUAUGUAUUGGAUCUUCUAGUCACAUUCUUUGUCAUAUGGUCAUCACUUAAUUUCAAAUCAUUUGAAAUAAGUUUACCAUUCGGUCGAAGAAAUGUCUCUGAACGAUUAAAGUUAUAUUCCAUCCAAAGCAUCAAUUUCAAAAGCUAGGAAGAUUUUGUAGAUAAUCACAUGACAGAGUUUUCAACAAAAGAGUUAGUUUUAUUUUAUGUAAAAGAUAAUGUUAGUGAGAUUCACGUUAUAGCUCUUCAAAAUUCACGUUGAAUAUACACUCGGUAGAUAUUCCCACAUAAAAUGGAUCCUAAAGAUAGUGUUAGUGAUAAUUGUUCAUAGGAACAUUAAAUAAAGUGGUUAUAAUAUUCAUAACUUUGAAGGUAAACAUGACUAUUUAGUAAAAUAUAUGCAUUAAAGUAAAGACGGGAAUCAAACCAAGUUCAAAGAAAACUUUAAAUCUAAUCAAUAUUAAUGCAGUUUCUCUAGACAUAGUCGAACAAAAUAAACACGAAUAUAAAAGAGAUGGGGCUUAAGAAAACCAAACAAUAUUCUUAAAAAAAUUAAAAAAAAAACCAAAAUGUAACACCACAAAGAUAAUUUUAUACGCCACAGAGAGUUUAACACCUACACACGACGCCCUUUCUUGUUUUUUAUAUCUUGUCAGUCUCUGUUUGUCUUGAGUGGUGACCUGGUUAUUAAUAAAUUUAGUUGUUCAAAAAAGUGAGACUUAUUAUAUGGGGGUGCAUUUAGCAUAUGAUAAUGUGUAACUUGCAAAGCCCACAAGUGUGCUCUCUUGGCUUGCAGAAGCACAAAAUUGGUUGCCUUACUUCAAGAGCACAUAAGUGAUUAUGUAAAAUAUGGUCUUUUUGUUUAAGCAACAUGACACUAACCUAAAUCACUUUUAGUAAACCCUAUUCUUUCUGAAACCCUGAAACUAAACCCUCUUUCCUCUUUCUAAGUGUUCAUCAAAUUAGCUAGCACAAUGAGUACAUGAGUUAUGUUAGUGUAGACUGAGUAAAAACAUCGCUAUUUUUCUUUUCUAAUGGUCAUCCUUACACUUGAUAAUCGUAUAUUCUAAAUUUAGAAGUAGAAUAAAUAAUAAAUAUUUUUUACCAAUGAAUAAAUAAUAAAUAUUAAUAAUGAUAUAUUGACAUUAUUAAUUAAAGUGAAUAAUAAUUAUGUACUGACAUUGUUAUUUUUAUAUUGUUAUUGUCAAAAAGAUUUAAAGGCAGGCGAAACAUUUUUUCAAGAAAAAACAAAGUGCAAAUGACAAACUUGACAUCUAAACUAUGUUGGCUUCCCAUUAUUAUAAUCUAUAAUUUGCAGCACUCUAAAAUUAUUAUAAAUAAAUAAAUGAAAAAUGAAAAUUACAAAUAUUGAGGGGACUAGACCAAAACCUAAUAAAAGUUAACCAAGUGAUUUUAGAAUGUCCCUUGUUAACCUAUUGGGAUAAAACCCGAGUACGGGAAAAAGGUACAUAACAACUAAACAACAUAAAGGCAACAUAAACAUAAAUCAAAGUGCAUAGGAUAUGACAUGAAAAUAAAUUAUAUGUAACAUAUAAUUAUUUUACAUAUUAAUGGUUAAUAAUCCAACCACAAACAAAAUAAGUUAACGCACAACAAGUAUUGUUCAGGAAUGUUACACCCAAUUUUGUGGUUAUUUACUCGACAAUGAAUGUGACUGUUGCAUGAAACAAACACUGCAAUGUAAAAUAACAUUAAAGUAUUUUUAUUAAAAGAGUAUGAAAUAUUGUGUCUAAUAUAAAUAAGAAAAUGAGAAAAUAAUGUCGAAAAUUACUUACCGCCAUUGGUUACAUGGAGAUAUGUAUAAAGGAAGAUUAUCAGAGCAAAAAAAACUUUGAAAUGUGAGUCAUUGUUUUGAAAAAUUUUAAAGAGAUCGUUUUUGUAAAAUGAUAUGAACUUGGCGUGAUUUUGUGAUUUCAUGGAAUUGGCCUAGGAUACUUGUAUGCCUAAGAUACAAUGGAUUAACCAUUUUAUAAGUAAAAGUUUAUUGCUUGAAUUGACAUCAAUUAAAUAAAUUAAAGCUAUUGUUAAAUGGCUCUAAGGUAUAUCAGUGUGCCAAGUUUAUCCUUUAGCGCACUCAAUUAACCAGUUAAGCAUAAUAAAGAUCUCAAAUAAAAAAAAAUUAAGCCCAUAAAAAAUUUAGUAGAUUUUUUUAUUUUUUAGCCUAUCAUGAUAGAGAGGGGACAAAAUACCCAAAGAUAAAUAAUGGCAAGGUAAUUAAAAUCGGAUCGAACCAUCUGGUUUAACUAGUUGAACCGGGAACCGGACCUAUGUCUGGUCUGAAAUAAAAAGAAAACGGGUGUUGCAACGAACCGGGAAACCAGAUAAUAAAGAUUUGUUGUGCAUAAAAAUUAAAUAACAGUAAAUAAAUAUUGUUUGGAAAAGUUAUGGAGAGAGAUGAGACUAGGUCUUCCGAAUCAUUUGAUUUUCCUUAAUUGGUACACUACACCUACUUCUCAUGAAUAUUUUUUUAGUUUUAUGAUGAUUAACUAAAAUAGCCCUAAUCAAUCCCUUGACUUAGGACCCUCUUCUCAGAUUACAACCCCUAAAUCCUUAGGUGAUCUAAUAUUCUUUGAAGGUUUGAAGAAUGUUAACCUAAUAUCACAAAUACUUGAUUGAGGUGUAUUGUUUUGAAAAAUGUCAAAAAGAUUGUUUUUGUAAAAUGAUACGAACUUGGCGUGAUUUUGUGAUUUCUUGGAAUUGGCCUUGAAUACUUGUCUGCCUAAGCUACUAUGGAUUAACCAUUUUAUAAGUAAAAGUUUAUUGCUUUACCAACAUCAAUUAAAUAUAUUUUAACACUAAAGAGGUGAAAAAUUGUUUACUAUAUUAAAGUUAUUGUUAAAUGGCUCUAAGGUAUAUCAGUGUGCCAAGUUUAUCCUUUGGCGCACUCAAUUAACCAUUUAAGCAUAAUAAGGAUCUCAAAUAAAAAAUUUAAACCCGGCAAAAAUUUAGUAGAUUUUUUAUUUUUUAGCCUAUCAUGAUAGAGAGGGGACAAAAUACCCAAAUAUAAAUAAUGGCAAGGUAAUUAAAAUCGGAUCGAACCAUCUGGUUUGACUCGUUGAACUAGGAACCAGAACUAUGUCUGGUCUGAAAUACAAAGAAAACUGGUGUCGCAACGAACCGGGAAACCAGAUAAAAACUGGAUGAACCGGGAAAACCAGCGGGCUACACGGUUUGGCAGGUUGAACCGCAUUUUACAAUUUUUUUGAAAAAAAAUCUCAAACCAGAUUUGUUAUGCCAUAAGUCUGAACUAAGAAAAGUUAUGGUGGUUUUAUAGCAAGAAGACAUAAAUCUAAGUAGAAUAAAAAUAUAGAGGAGACCAUGAAAUGGAGAUCUUGGAGAAAAAACGAAAAGGAUAAUCAUAGUUGGUGGGUUGCGUUGCUGCUAUUUAGAAAUUAGGGUUAGUGUGACAUUUAUACUUAUAAUAACUGAUAGACUUUUAGAAGGUGUACUAAAACUAUUGAACUAAUACAAUUAAUGUUGUUUCCAUGAGAACAAUAUUAAUCUCAAGUAAACGAUAGCAUUAUGAAAUAGGAUGUGUAAAGUUAUUUAGUGCCUGAGACAGUAGAUUUGUUGUGCAUAAAAAUUAAAUAACAGAAAAUAAAGAUUGUUUGGAAAAGUUAUGGAGAGAGAUGAGACUAGGUCUUUCGAAUACUUUGAUUUCCCCUAAUUGAUACACUACACCUAUUUCUCAUGAAUAUUUCUCUAGUUUUACGAUGAUUAACUAAAAUAGCUCUAAUCAAUCCCUUGACUUAGGACCCUCUUCUCAGAUUACGAUCCCUAAUUCCUUAGGUGAUCUAAUAUACUUUAAAGGUUUGAAUAACGUUAACCUAAUAUCACAAAUACUUGAUUGAGGUGUAUUGUUUUGAAAAAUGUCAAAAAGAUCGUUUUUGUAAAAUGAUACGAACUUGGCGUGAUUUUGUGAUUUCUUGGAAUUGGCCUAGGAUACUUGUAUGCCUAAGCUACUAUGGAUUAACCAUUUUAUAAGUAAAAGUUUAUUUCUCUAUUGACAUCAAUUAAAUAUAUUUUAACACUAAAGAGGUGAAAAGUUGUUUAUUAAAUUAAAGUUAUUGUUAAAUGGCUCUAAGGUAUAAUAAUGUGUCAAGUUUAUCCUUUAGCGCACUCAAUUAACAAGUUAAGCAUAAUAAAGAUCUCAAAUAAAAAAAUUUAAGCCCGUCAAAAAUUUAGUAGAUUUUUUUUAUUUUUUAGCCUAUCAUGAUUGAGAGGGGACAAGAUACCCAAAUAUAAAUAAUGGCAAGGUAAUUAAAAUCGGAUCGGACCAUCUGGUUUGACUAGUUGAACCGGGAACUGGAACUAUGUCUGGUCUGAAAUACAAAGAAAAUUGGUGUCGCAACGAACCAGGAAACCAGAUGAACCGGGAAAACCGGCGGGCUACACAGUUUUGCAGGUUGAACUGCAUUUUUAAAAUUUUUUGAAAAAAUAACUCAAACCAGAUUUGUUAUGUCAUAAGUCUGAACUAAGAAAAGAUAUGGUGGUUUUAUAGCAAAAGGACAUAAAUCUAAGUAGAAUACAAAUACAGAUGAGACCCUGAAAUGGAGAUCUUGGAGAAAAAAUGAAAAGGAUAAUUGUAACGCCCUAUUUUAAUAUUUAUUUAUUUUAUUGAGUUUAGGUGUCUUUCCAUAAUUUAGUCGAUUUAUUCUGAUGGGUGAUAUUUUGUUAUGUUAUAUGUUGGUAUUUAUUAGUAUAAUAUAUAUGUUAUUUGGUGUAGAAAUAUAUAUAUAUUAUCUGGUGUAGAAAUAUAUAUGUUAUUUGGUGUAGAAAUAUAUAUAUUAUCUUGUGUAGAAAUAUAUAUGUUAUGUGGUGUAGAAAUAUUAUGUUAUUUGGUGUAGAAAUAUAUGUUAUCUGGUGUAGAAAUAUAUUUCUUAUUUGGUGUAGAAAUAUAUAUAUAUAUAUAUAUAUAUAUAUAUAUAUAUAUAUAUAUAUAUAUAUAUGAGGGCAAAUUUAGAAAUAAGAGAACAUAAGUAGGUUAAUGAUUUUUAUAAAAGGGCAGAUUUGGAAAUAAGAGAAAAUAAGUAGGUUAAUGAAAGUUAGAAUUAGAAAAUAAGGAUUACGUGAAACUGCUUUUGAGAGAAAAGCGUGAAAGUGAGAAGUCAAGAGAAGAGAAGAGUCAGAGAAGAGAAAGUGGUAGAAUCUUGUAGAGUCCGAUCAUCUAAUCUAAGGUAAGGGUGGGACUAAAUUUCUCUAAUUCUAAGUUGUAUAAUUCUGAAAUUGAGUUUAGCAUGUUGUAGGUUGUAGUUAUGGAAAUUUGGGAAUUAGGUUUGAAGUUGUAAUUGGUUGUUAAUAGAGUAGAAAAUCCGUUGAAUUUGUGUAGAAGUGAUGUUUAGAUCAUGGGUUAUUUUUAGUGCAAUCUUUUAUAUGGUUUUGAGUGCCUUAACAUGUAUAGAAAUGGUUCGACAUGUUUUUUGGAUCAAAUUUGGGCAUAGGGAAGUUAAAAUUGGGAUUUUGGGGUGAAAAGUGGGUUUUUCCCGAGUUGCUCUCUGACAGCACGUCCUGUUUCAUGUUCUUGCGUCUUUUUCACACGUUUCUGUUUUGAAUUGGCCUUUGGUGUAAACAUGAAAGUUGUAGAUAAUUGAGUUAGCUUUCCAGUGGCUUUGAUUUGACGAGAAAAUGAUUUUUGGUUCUUGAGAUAUGAUGAAAAUACUCCAAGGAGGUUUUAGUGAAAUCUUAUGAAAAUUCAGCAUAACCGUUUCUAAUUUAAUCCAAAACUUAAGGAAUAAUUCCAAACCUCAAAACUAGAAGUACUAUGAGUUCAACUAGGGUGUUUAAGAUUAUUUAAGCUAUGUUGUGAUGGAUCUAAUUUGGUUUGACGUGAAUAUCUUUGUUGGAUAAUUUGAAAUACAUAUAUUAUGUGAAUGUUGUUGUUGAAUAAUUUGAGUUACAUAUAUUUAUGUGGAAAAGGUAUGAUAUAGAAAAUAAUGUUGUUAUACCAUUCAAGUUGUUAUUAUUAAUGAUGCUAUGUUGUGAAGUUGGUGUAUGUGUUUGUCUCUACUGUAUUGAUUAUUAAAUCAUUAAGUUGCAUAUGUUGGUCAAGUUGUUAAAGUUGUAAGUUGUUGUCAAUGUAGUUAAAGUUGUAAGUUGUUAUCGAUGUCGUUGAAGUUGUUAGUUGUCGUUGCAUUAGUUGUUGAGUCCAUGCAUACUCAUUUACGUUGAGGGCAUGAUGCCAUGUGAGCUUUUGCUCUUUAAGUUGAGGGCUUGAUGCCCUGGGAGUGUAUUUAUGCUCAAUACGUUGAGGGCUUGAUGUCCUGUGAGCUUUUGCUCUUUAAGUUGAGGGCUUGAUGCCCUGAGAGUGUAUUUUUGCUCAAUAUGUUGGGGGCUUGAUGCCCUGAAUUGGUACCACAUGCAUGAUUAAGAAGUUGAAGUUGCAUAUGUUGAGUUUAAGUUGUAGAAGUCGCAUUGUCGUUGUCGUUAAGUUGUCAUUUGUCAAUGAGUUGUUAAUAAAGAACUAAGCGAAGUAUUAAUAUUUAUUAAUCGUUGUUGUUUAUGUCGUUAUGAGAUGAUGUUUAUGAUGUUGUUAUUUAUGUCGUUAUGAGAUGAUGUUUAUGAUGUGUUGUUUAUGUUGUUAUAAGAUGAUGUUUAUGAUGUGAUGAUUAUGUCGUUAUAUGAUGAUGUUUAUGAUCUGAUUAUUAUGUGCUAUAUGAUGUUGUAUAUAAUGUGAUGAAUAUGAAGUUAAUAAUGAUUAGAAGUUGGUUGAGUUAUUAAUGAAGUAUUAUAACAAGAGUUAAUGUUAUUAAUUGAUGAAGUUUAAGUUGUUAAAUGCUUUUGAUGAAUUAUAUGCUUAUUAUUAUUGAAUGUGAAAUCUCACCCCUUCUGCUUGGAAAUGUUGCCCUCACAAUUGGGUAACUUGCAGGUAAUCUAGAAUAGUUGUGGUCGUGAGUGGACUCUCUCACGUGUCAUCGUCUUAAGUGCUCUGAUACGUAACGGGAUGAGAAUUUUGUUGUUGCUCUUUGUUCCUUACGUAUUAUUUUAUGAAGUUUUAUGAACAUGUUGUUGGAAUAAUUUUAUGAGAUUUUACCUUGAGGCCUUUGUGUCAAGGUUGUUUUAAACGUUAAAAUAAUUUCCGCUACAAUAAGAUUUAAUUUGAUGAUUGAGAUAAUUAGUAAUUUUACUAUAUUCAGAUUUGAAAGAAGUGUAACAUCCAGUUUUUAGUUGUUUACUCUGAUAUAAGUGAAAUUUUUCAAGUUGGGAAAACGGGGUGUUACAAUAAUCAUAGUUGGUGGGUUGCGCUGAUGCUGCUAUAUAUUCAGAAAUUAGGGUUAGUGUGUCAUUUAUACUUAUAAUAACUGAUAGACUUUUAGCAGGUGUACUGAAACUAUUGAAGUAAUACAAUUAAGUUCUUUUCCAUGAGAACCGUGUUAAUCUCAAGUAAACAAUAGCAUUAUGAAACAGGAUGUGUAAAGUUAUAUUAGUGCCCGAGGCAGCAGGUGCAUAAAAAUUAAAGGCUAAAAUAUGGUUUUGGUCCCUCAAAUAUGCCUCGUUUUGGUUUUAGUCACUGUAAAUUUUUUUUGUUGUUUUUGGUCCCUGCAAAUAUGCCUCAUUUUGAUUUUGGUCCCUGGCUCCACUUUUGUGAUGAUUUGCACACGUGGCACAUGAUGACUGAACCCAUUUAUUAGAGAAAUAGUCCCUGCAAAAUCUUUUGAUUUUACAAGGACCAAAAACAACAAAUUUUUUUUACAGGGACUAAAACCAAAAUGAGGCAUAUUUGCAGGGACCAAAACCAUAUUUUAGCCAAAAUUAAAUAACAGAAAAUAAAGAUUGUUUGGAAAAGUAAUGGAGAGAGAUGAGACUAGGUCUUUCGAAUCAUUUGAUUUUCCCUAAUUGGUACACUGCACCUAUUUCUCAUGAAUAUUUCUCUAGUUUUACGAUGAUUAACUAAAAUAGCCCUAAUCAAUCCAUUGACUUAGGAUUCUCUUCUCAUAUUACAAUCCCUAAUUCCUUAGGUGAUCUAAUAUACUUUAUAGGUUUGAAGAACAUUAACCUAAUAUCACAAAUACUUGAUUGAGGUGUAUUGUUUUGAAAAAUGUGAAAAAGAUCGUUUUUGUAAAAUGAUACGAACUUGGCGUAAUUUUGUGAUUUCUCGGAAUUGGCCUAGGAUACUUGUAUGCCUAAGCUACUAUGGAUUAACCAUUUUAUAAGUAAAAGUUUAUUUCUUUAUUGACAUCAAUUAAAUA
RNAcentral lists this long non-coding RNA (8338 nucleotides) under Medicago truncatula (barrel medic). RNAcentral's name for it is "long non-coding RNA (MTRU_LNC001488)". Lineage: Eukaryota; Viridiplantae; Streptophyta; Magnoliopsida; Fabales; Fabaceae. The record is from RNAcentral.